UGGGGAAUAUUGCACAAUGGGCGAAAGCCUGAUCCAGCCAUGCCGCGUGUGUGAAGAAGGUCUUCGGAUUGUAAAGCACUUUAAGUUGGGAGGAAGGGCAUUAACCUAAUACGUUAGUGUUUUGACGUUACCGACAGAAUAAGCACCGGCUAACUCUGUGCCAGCAGCCGCGGUAAUACAGAGGGUGCAAGCGUUAAUCGGAAUUACUGGGCGUAAAGCGCGCGUAGGUGGUUUGUUAAGUUGGAUGUGAAAUCCCCGGGCUCAACCUGGGAACUGCAUUCAAAACUGACUGACUAGAGUAUGGUAGAGGGUGGUGGAAUUUCCUGUGUAGCGGUGAAAUGCGUAGAUAUAGGAAGGAACACCAGUGGCGAAGGCGACCACCUGGACUAAUACUGACACUGAGGUGCGAAAGCGUGGGGAGCAAACA
Molecule: ribosomal RNA, 427 nt
Filed under: uncultured bacterium
Lineage: Bacteria
Description: partial 16S ribosomal RNA
Rfam family: Bacterial small subunit ribosomal RNA
Source: RNAcentral